GAUCCUGGCUCAGGAUGAACGCUAGCUACAGGCUUAACACAUGCAAGUCGAGGGGCAGCAUUUUAGUUUGCUUGCAAACUAAAGAUGGCGACCGGCGCACGGGUGAGUAACACGUAUCCAACCUGCCGAUAACUCGGGGAUAGCCUUUCGAAAGAAAGAUUAAUAUCCGAUAGUAUAUUAAAACCGACAUGGUUUUACUUAUUAAAGAAAUUUCGGUUUAGUUCGAUGGGGAGUGCGUUCCACUUAGUUUGUUUGGUCGGGGUAACGGGACCCG
RNAcentral lists this ribosomal RNA (274 nucleotides) under uncultured bacterium. RNAcentral describes it as "partial 16S ribosomal RNA". It matches the Rfam family "Bacterial small subunit ribosomal RNA", at positions 15 to 267 of the family's 1533-position model. The record is from RNAcentral.